Molecule: non-coding RNA, 429 nt
Filed under: Pan troglodytes (chimpanzee)
Lineage: Eukaryota; Metazoa; Chordata; Mammalia; Primates; Hominidae
Source: RNAcentral
UUUUUCUUUUCUUUCUUUUUUUUUUCUUUUGGUGUAACAGUAUCGCAUGAGCCAAGACUGUCAUGAAACUAUUUGGAUACUGUACUCUGGUUCCUUCAUCUCCUCCAUCUGCAUCAGCCUAAAUUGUCCUAGAGCCUCUGCCAUGAACCCGGGGAUAAGUGAGGAAAGAAAUUUUUCCUCCUUCACAGUAUCAAGUGCCAGGCCAGGGCACUUUGUCCAGGGCUCACUGUGAAGAAAGAGUAAUGUUCAAGGAUGGCAGCAGGAAGGACCCUAAUGAAGAGGUUUAUCUGAUUGGUUUACCGGAGUCCUAUGUGGGAUGAAUAGCUUCAGCCUUUGCGCUUGCACCUCUUUGCUGUCCACUCCAAUCAAGAACUGGGGCCCCCGCAACUCUCUCAGUUCUGAAACAAAUUAAAUCUCAGUGACAGACUU